Molecule: non-coding RNA, 1086 nt
Organism: Pelobates cultripes (western spadefoot toad)
Lineage: Eukaryota; Metazoa; Chordata; Amphibia; Anura; Pelobatidae
Source: the annotation of a GenBank genome assembly
GCCGGACUGGGAAAAAAAUUAGGCCCGGGCAUUUUUCAAUUAGAGCGGCCCCCUAAGAAGGGGGCGGGGCCAGAGAGGGUGUGUUUUGUCAUCACUAAUGACAAGCACGCCCCCUCUGAAAGUGAGCAUGUUGGUUCAAUGCCCAGAGCCCUGCUGAAGAGCUCUGGCAUUAGAAAAAGGCCCUGUAUUUGUUCUGCCCAGCGCAAGCAAAUGUAAUAACAUGCUUGCACUGUGUUUGCUUUUAAAUUGUCUCUGGUGUCUCCACAAGUGGGAUACCAGAGGACAAAAGGGCCAGGAAAGUGUAUGGUGCAUGUGUUUGGAGCCUGCUUGUGGGAUUGCCUGUGUGUAGAGUGUGGUGUGGUAUUGUGUAAAUAGGUCGAUUUUGUGGUGUAAUAUGUGUGGCUAGGGGCUGUAGAGAGUGCGUGUAUAGGGGCAUAGUGUUAUAGGGGAUGUAGCGAGUGUGUGCAUAUGGGCAGUAGUGUGUGUGUAUAGGUGACGUAGUGUGUGUAGGGGUUGUAGAGAGGGUGUGUUUAGAGAAUGUUGUAUGUGUUUGCUUACAAGGAAUGUAGUGUGUGUGUAGGUGGUGCACUGUGUGUGUGUAAGAGAUCUAGUGUGUAAAGGACCCAGAGUGUGUAUAGAAGAUUGUGUGUGUGUGUGUGUGUAGAGGAUUAAGAGUGCAUAUAGGGUAAGGGAUCUAGCGUGUAUCUGGAGCGUAAUGUGUGUAGUGGUGCAGUGUGAGGGGUGCUGUAGUGUGUGUGUAUAUAUAUAUAUUUGGACGUAUUGUAUGUGUGAGGUGCGCAGUGUGUUUGUGUAAGAGGGGUGCUGUGUGUUAGGGUGUUUUUAUCUGCCGUCACAUUCUAGGUUUCUAAUUUUCUUUGUCUGUUAACUCACUGAGGGUUAUUUUAUAUAAUAUAUAUGUGUCUCUGGGUGUGCUGUGUGUGUCUGGGGGUGCUGUGUGUGUGUCUGGGGGUGCUGUGUGUGUGUCUGAAGGUGCUGUGUGUGUAUCUGGGGUGCUGUGUGUGUGUGUGUCUGGGGGUGCUGUGUCUCUGGGGGUGCUGUGUGUCUGGGGUGCUGUGUGUGUUUGGG